Molecule: ribosomal RNA, 399 nt
Filed under: uncultured bacterium
Lineage: Bacteria
Description: partial 16S ribosomal RNA
Rfam family: Bacterial small subunit ribosomal RNA
Source: RNAcentral
AAUAUUGGACAAUGGGCGCAAGCCUGAUCUAGCCAUGCCGCGUGAGUGAUGAAGGCCCAAGGGUUGUAAAGCUCUUUUAUCGGUCAAGAGAAUGACGCUAACCGACGACGAAGCCCCGGCCAACUCCGUGCCAUCAGCCGCGGUAAUACGAAGGGGGCUAGCGUUGUUCGGAAUUACUGGGCGUAAAGCGCACGUAGGCGGGUAUUUAAGUCAGGGGUGAAAUCCCGAGGCUCAACCUCGGAACUGCCUUUGAUACUGGGUAUCUAGAGUCCGGAAGAGGUGAGUGGAAUUCCGGGUGUAGAGGUGAAAUUCGUAGAUAUUCGGAGGAACACCAGUGGCGAAGGCGGCUCACUGGUCCGGUACUGACGCUGAGGUGCGAAAGCGUGGGGAGCAAACAGG